UGUUGCACGUAUGUCAGCUUGCCUCUCUACCUGUUUGACCAUUGCGCUGGGGCCGUACCUGGCCAAUCACGCAUGAAUUAGUUUACACAAAACGCUAUUCAAAUACUCAACAUUCAAUGAUUAAUCUUCAUUUUGUGUGUACACGUGCACCCUUUGUGGCUUCUGUUCUCGCCAAAAUGUCGAAAUCUUCGAGAUAUGGCAAGGCUAUGAGAAUGCGAGGGGGGGUGUUACUUUAACUCGUGUGCGUGCCUCAAUAUGGCUACGCUCGUGAAA
Molecule: long non-coding RNA, 273 nt
Organism: Hippocampus comes (tiger tail seahorse)
Lineage: Eukaryota; Metazoa; Chordata; Actinopteri; Syngnathiformes; Syngnathidae
Exons: 3
Source: RefSeq, a predicted model, not a curated record